This 355-nucleotide long non-coding RNA is filed under the name Homo sapiens (human). Its description in RNAcentral is "non-protein coding lnc-RWDD2B-1:1". Lineage: Eukaryota; Metazoa; Chordata; Mammalia; Primates; Hominidae. The record is from RNAcentral.
CUUAUUAGGUGAUUUUCAAUGGAAGAAUAUGUUUGAGUUCUUAAAUAGAAACCUAAGAAAAUACUUAUUCUAGAAAUUAGAAUGUGGCUAAGAAUAAAAGGGGAAACCAAAAAUAGCAGGGACGGAAGAAGCUAAGUAGACUGCAGCAUAAGGAACGCAGAAAUUCCAACUGUGUUAGGAACUUUGAAUGUCAAUUAUUCAAGCAAGACAAUAACCACCACCCUUGGUCACAAAGUGCUGGGAUUACAGGCAUGAGCCACCACACCCAGCUUUUAGUUACUUUUUAAAAUCAAUGUGCACUUAGGUUCUAAAAUUAUGCUUAAUGCCUUUAAUUCAGUCUGAAAUUACUCUCAAU